AGGAACUAAGUAUUGUCCAUUUAUAUUUAUCUCAAUAAAUUUAUAUUUAAUGAGGUUUUAAAGAUUCUAGGGAUAAUUAAAGCAAUAGAAGGGUAAAAUUGAAAACUACAAUAAAAAUGAGAAUAGAUAGGUAAAAAAUGUAGGAGCCACUUAGUAUCACAGUCUAGUGGUGUUUCUCUUCACUUAUAAGUGAGAGGUCUUAGGUUCGAUUCUCGCCAAAGACAAGUUUAAGCCAUAUUAUUGCUAGCCCAUUGUGAGGCUAAACCAACCCCUCCUCUUAGUGUAGAUAAUAUCAUUUGUUAAAAAAAAUGUAGGAAGAGUAUAGAUUGAGAUUUGGGAGUGCCACUAACAACUCCCAAAAAAAUAUUGAGGUAUAAGGUCUUAAUUUGUUCUCUAUCGUUAUCCAAAUCGUCUACAAGGUCUCAAAUUUUUAUGAUUGCAUCACGAGGUUUUAAAAUUGUAUCAAUAUACACCUUUUAUCUCAUUGAGUGUGUAGUAGUCUAUUAAAUUGAUGUUUUUUUGUCAGUCCCUAGAUUUUUUAUUUAUUUAUUUUACCGACAGGCAUAUGGUUAUGGGCCUAUGAUACUGUCAUUUGCAUCAACUCACCUGAGGUCUGAACAAUGUUAUAAUAGUGAAUGCCAGAGGCCAAAGGUACGCCGGUAAACCACCUAUGUACUUUUGAGAAGUAGGCUAAGAAACAUUGAACCAAGAACACGAGCAUCCUUUCGAACCCACUCGGUAAAUGAGUGAUUUUUAGUUUGCAUGCCGUUGUUAUCAGUGUUAAACUCAGCAUGACACUCGAAAAAAUGUCGAUGAAAGCCAUGAGAUGACGACUUUUGAGAACGAGAAUGAUCUGGGCUAACUAGAAGAGGUAGUUGGUAUGAUCUAACUUAAUAGUGACGGAGUUGAAGAAAGUUGGGGUUCCACCAUAAAACCAAUUAGCAAUAUGGAGAGUAGCCCAACCUCUUAUAAGUCCAUCUUCCCAUCAAUGUGUGACUCAUUCUCAACAUGCCCCCUCACAUGUGGUGAAUUUUCGCAGAGAUUAAAACUUAAGAACAGUGAAUUAAGAGAGAAAUCAAAUUAGAAUACAAUAACUGAAUUUAGAAAGAGCAAAUUAGACCAUGCUAAAACUGGCAUUGACUUGAGACAUGCCAACAAUUAUGAGCUGAACUAAUCUAGCAAGUUUCUAACUACCAAAGUACCAGAAGGACACUCACAGCAAUCGAUUAAAAAUUGCACGGAAACCGUGUAGUUGUUCAUAUGCUUUUGUUUUUUUUCUUCAGAUUUAAGGGUUAAAUAAACAAUUAUGAUUUUAUCCCUUUCACACAAAGUUAUUCGUAAAGUACAUGUAUCAGACUGAGUUAUCUAUCGUGUGAGACAGAGGGAUUAUCUCAUUAACUCAUUCAAUCUGAAAAAAGUUUAGACAUAACAAUCAAGCUAUUUCAGUAGUUUUAAGCCUACCGUAAGAGUUUGUCUAUCCCUAUGUUAUUUCUUUUAAAGUGGAGUCAUGUCUAUAGACGAUCAGAUCUUACACUCAUGGGAGACCGACUCUCUGCAAGCCGCAACUUUAAACCUAUACCUCUACUAGGCGUGAGUUUCUCGUUCCAUUUGAGAUAACUUGCUCUAGUUGACACCCGAAUUAUCACAUCUUUUGUCUCGCUACCCUUUCCUUUUAGUCGAGCUACUUUGUUACCCUCUACUAUGAGAUACGAGCUUGACAACCACAUAGUAAUAUCUUUUUAAGCACUCCUAAAAAGAUAUGAUUUUCCUUCUUUUUUCGACAACAAUGGAACCUCAAAAUUUUUAAUGAUGUAGAAAGUUAUAAAUUAGCAGAAAAAAAACAUUUAAAUUCAUAAUGUCAAGGGUUCAAGAUUGAUGUAGAAAUCAAUCAAGGUUGCCGCCAUCCACCUAUAUUAUGAUUUAUGAUUGCCUUAACUACAAUUAGAAUUGAGUUAGUUGUUAUUACUUGUUUUAGGCAGUUCGUUAGGAAAUGUCAGUUGGCAAGAGUGUUUGGGAACGAGUAUAUGAAGCAAGGAGAAAAUUUUCAUUGUGACCGGAAACACCACGUGUUUUUAUAUAAAUGGUGAAAAAAUUUAUAUUUUAAGUUAUUAGUUUUUUAACACACAUAUUCCGUCAUUUGUAUAGUGACAUGUGAUGUAUCACUCUCUGUACAGAUUGCAUUGAAAAAUCUCUCAUGAAGCAAGAAGUGAGUGGAGUUUGUAUCAUAUCAGUUUUACAAAGGAAAUUAAUUACAAAUAGAUAUUGGAGCUCAGUUUCAUCUCUUAUUCUCUCUUCCCUCCCUCUUCAUCCAUAUUCUAUGUGCUACUUGUAGGUUGAAUAGGGUUUUUGAGAACUGGAUCUUAUCAAUGGUAUCAUCCUUCUUGAGUCCUUAUUUCCCUCCUGUGGACUCGAGCUAAACCCACCCACAUAGUCUUUCGUCCAUGGAGACUCGUGUAGCUGUCCUUGAAACAUCUGUCCCGGCUCUCCCAUAAUUGAUUCAGUUGUUGAUUUCGGUGGCACUUUCCUCCUUUUCUAUUGCCCUAGAUACCAAACUUGUGGCACGUUUUGAACGACUUCCCUGUGAGCUAUCAUUUGGCUCCGAAUGAGGUUCACAUGUAGCCCUGAUGUCAUGAUAUUGUCCGAUGACGUUGAAUAGCUCGAUGUUGAUUUCAAUACGGUUCAAUGUUUUGGGAUCCACGACGCGGAAGGCAACCCACUACGAAUUCCCUCGAUCAUCCACGGCAGAGUCAGAAUUUUUGUUCUUUAGUUCAAGAAAACUUUGAGGGAUGGAGAAUGCGAUCACAUGGCUUCAAUUGUAGGAUAAAUGGUUCAUCAUGAAUAUGUUACUUGGUACACGCCGUUAAUUUGUUUGAUGCAAUAAAUUGAAUGGUUUUUUUUUUAAUUUUUUUAGGGAUGAUUUUCAAAUGAAAAUUAAUAGAUUGAACGAUUCCUAUUAUGAAAUUUCUACUUCGAAGAUACAUUAUUUAUAAGUGAAAAAAUGAGCUCAUCUCCAAAGGAAAAUGCAAUUAUUAUCCCUUGGAUUAUAUUUAACAUUUUAAUUUAUGGUUCUGAUUUUGGAAUGAUAUACACACCAGCCCACCCCCCCCCCCCCCCCAAAAUACGAUAAGCAUGGUUCAUAUAUCUCGACAAAUAAGUAUGUUUAGUUGGAAGGACUAUAUAAUGUAUUGAAGGAAUUUAAUUGAAGAAAUUUAUUUGUGAGAAGGGUCAGUUUUUAACUAUUAUACCAAAUAAGUCUAACGAUAAUACAAAUAAAGGAAAACUAACAAAAGUCAUCAAAAAUUUUAGUUUUAUUGAAAAUGGCGAAAUAUAGAUGUAAGUGAAUAGUACCAAGAGUGACUUUUCAAGGUAAAAAUGUUCUUUUCGUUAAAAGUGAACAUUAUCGGAAGUGUUUCAUUAAGAUUCCCUGCAAAUAAAUACAAACUUGGCAAAUGGUGAGAGGGUUAGUUGACCACUUUAGGCCUUAAUUGGCUCGCCUCUGAGCAAAUGAAUGAUUUAUCCAAUUACUAAGUUUUGUAUUCUUUACUUGCUAU
Molecule: long non-coding RNA, 3551 nt
Filed under: Malus domestica (apple)
Lineage: Eukaryota; Viridiplantae; Streptophyta; Magnoliopsida; Rosales; Rosaceae
Description: long non-coding RNA (MDOM_LNC004334)
Source: RNAcentral